GACGGCCGCGGGGAGGGCGCUCCAGUUCUGUCGGCGCCAGUGGGCCGCUCUGGACCCCUCUGGAACUUUCCGCUGGGCUCUAGGUGGGCGGGGCCGCACCCCCGCCAUCGCGUUUAAAGGAGGAAAGUGACUGUGCAGGUUUACUUGAGCAGUGGCGGCUCUGGGUUCUGGUGUGAGACUCCUUUUCUGUGUUGUAAAUUUGGCUGGAAAUAGAGAUGGACGUUGCUCUGCUUAACACUGAGUUCUCAGUCUGGAAAGUUAAAGACAUUUGAGUUUUAGGAAUAAAAGCAAGAUGAACUGAAGAAAAUGAGUCUUUUUCCAAAGGAGAUAGAAGAUGGGGAAGAUGAGAUAUCAGAAGAUAAGGUCAAUGGAAGUAGAGGUGAGACCCUGUCCAAAAGAGACCUGAUAAGUGGGAGAAGGAAAUGGCCAAACAGAAGGCUUCCCUGAAACCAAAAAACAGAAACUGGACGGUAGCUUGUUUGCUGUGCUUUAAAGCGCAGGACAAAACAUGGAGAAGCGCGUAUUGGUUAAGUGCAGGGAGGGCAUCUGUGGACAAGGCGAAAGCCCAGUUGAACCGCUUAGAACUUUCAAACUGUUUGUUGGAAACCUGAAUUUCAACAAAACUGCUGCUGAAUUGAACACUGGUCCCAGCGAACGUUUUGCUAAAAACGAUCUCCCAGCUGUUGGUGUCAGAGUUGGCUCGUCCAGAUCACCUAGACCUGAUUUUAGAAGUUAUCCAACCUUUCUUCCAGCAGGCAUAAAAAAAUGAAGGGGGCAUCAUAAACGGACAGUCACAAGUUUCUAGAAAACUAUAGUGGUGUCAUGAGAAAUGAAGGCUUAUCCUACCAAGUUCAAGAUUGAAAACUGGAAGAAUUCAGUCAUAGAUUAUCUCCACUCUUCGCUCUCCAGGGCUGACUCCAGUAAAACAGCACCGUUGAUGACCUUCCUGGACAGGUGGCAAAACAAGCAAUGAAUUAACCCGUUAGAACUAUGUUGUAACUGGGGCAGCCAGGUGGCUCAGCUGGUUAAAUGUCCGACUUCAGCUCUGGUCAUAAUCUAACGGUUGUGGGAUUGAGCCCCACA
Molecule: long non-coding RNA, 1083 nt
Organism: Suricata suricatta (meerkat)
Lineage: Eukaryota; Metazoa; Chordata; Mammalia; Carnivora; Herpestidae
Exons: 5
Source: RefSeq, a predicted model, not a curated record